GAAGCAUAUCAACAAUGAAUGAAAUAUUUCGGAGCAUAUAAAUAACAAAUGAAAUGUUUCGGAGCCGAUCAGUGGCGUAUGAAAUGUUCCGGAGCAUAUCAACGGUGUAUGGAACAUUUCGGAGCAUAUCAAUAACAAAUACCAAACAGAAGCUCAAACGUCGUCUUUGACGUUGCAUUCAUAUCAUUCUUAUCCAAAGCAUGUACAGAAACACAUAACCAAAGCUCUGGAUAUCAUAUCAAACAUACAGAAGGUGUAGUGGGACCACAGACAGAAUGUGAUUCAUCCAUUUCUGAAUGACCACCAGACAGAAGUCUCCCACGUCUGGGAGCUCCAUCCACCGACGUCUAGGUGAAGUCAGAGGGGGCCGGCAGAGCAUCGCAGGCUCUAUGCAUAACUCCCUUUACCAUUUCUGGCAAAGGUUUACAUUAUCCCACAACACUAGAGUACAAAAGGGCAGUAUGAACAAUAAAUAGCAUAUAUCGGAAGCACACGCGGAACAACAAACAUACAUGUGCCUUUACGAGUCAAUACGAUGCAAGCAACAAUCUCUCACAAAUGUGUUCAGAUUUGGAAUGAAAUGAAAGCAAGAGUAUACAUGGAUUCCAAGCAAUCAUAUAUAGCUCAAUUCAAAUAAGAAGGUUAGAUGAAUUCAAUAUCCAAAGGAAUGAAACUAGAAUAGGCACAUAUCGAAAGUAAACGCGGAUCAAUGGGAUAUACAUGUGCCUAUAUGUGUCAAUGCGAUAUAGCAUAAACAUUACACAAAAGGAUUCAAGAAUGUAAAUAAUUUACAGACAAGAUCAAACCAGAAUUCAAGCACUAAUAUAAGCCUCAAUUGAGCGAAAGGGGCUGAAUGGAAUAUAGUUCCAAACGAAUGAAACAGAAUACGCGAAAUCGACCAAAGCUUGAUUUCUGACAGAAUUCAAGAGGCACAUUGAACAAAUACUUCAGAUUAUCAAUUAUGCUCCAAUACCCUUAAAAAAGCUACUGUCGAAAGAUAUAUCAAUCUAUUUUCUGAUGAAAUAAGUUUCAUAUAAAUCAAGAUUUCCAACAAGGAGUUACCAUUGAUUUAGUGACCAAAUGUCAAAAACUAAAUCACUGUUUUACAGAAUCCAUAGGACGGAAUCAACAGAUAGCAGAAUAGGCAUUUGAAUUCCAAAUUCUUCAAUCCAUAUAUCAAAAGAAAGAUUUACAAGUCUAAUUUCAAAUGAAAUCAGUUUGGUAUAAAUCAGAAUUUCCAACAGGGAGAUAUAGGCAUUUUAGUAUCGAAAGGUCAGAAAUUUUGAUCCCUAUUCUGUAGCAUCUAUAGGCUCAUUUGAAACAGAUGUUUGGGUAAGUAUUCGGUGUCCAAAAUCUACAAAAUCAGUGUCAAAAGAAAGAUAUAAGAGUCUAAUUUCAAAUGAACUAUGUCCUGUCUGAAUCCACAUUUGGUGCUAAAAAUUAUAGCUGAAACAGUGUAUAGGGGUCAGUUUACCGAAAAAAUUUCAGAUCCUUGGUUUUUUGUCCAAAGAGAGAAAUAUCAGGUUCUACGCAUAAAUCUUUCAGAAUCAAUAUAGGAACAUAGACUAAUACUUCUGUAGGAUGGGAUUAGAACACUUACCUUUGAGAAUUUUGACCCUAAAUGAGAAGAUUUGAGCAAGAAACCUCAAAGCCCCAAUUUUUUUUUUCUUCUUCUUCUUCCCCCUUUUUCUUCUCUUCUUCUUUCUUUCUUUCUCCUGUGCUUCCACGUAGCUGCCUUCUCUAGUUCCUUAUGAACGAAGGCAGAGAGGCUUAAACGGUGGGAUUUGUAUUUUUGUGCAUUUUGCAGUUUAGUCCUUGUAUUUAUUAUAUUUACGAUUAGGUCCUCAG
Molecule: long non-coding RNA, 1848 nt
Filed under: Musa acuminata (dwarf banana)
Lineage: Eukaryota; Viridiplantae; Streptophyta; Magnoliopsida; Zingiberales; Musaceae
Description: long non-coding RNA (MACU_LNC009932)
Source: RNAcentral